UAGGGAAUCUUCGGCAAUGGACGAAAGUCUGAUCGAGCAACGCCGCGUGAGUGAAGAAGGUUUUCGGAUCGUAAAACUCUGUUGUUAGAGAAGAACAAGGACGUUAGUAACUGAACGUCCCCUGACGGUAUCUAACCAGAAAGCCACGGCUAACUACGUGCCAGCAGCCGCGGUAAUACGUAGGUGGCAAGCGUUGUCCGGAUUUAUUGGGCGUAAAGCGAGCGCAGGCGGUUUCUUAAGUCUGAUGUGAAAGCCCCCGGCUCAACCGGGGAGGGUCAUUGGAAACUGGGAGACUUGAGUGCAGAAGAGGAGAGUGGAAUUCCAUGUGUAGCGGUGAGAUGCGUAGAUAUAUGGAGGAACACCAGUGGCGAAGGCGGCUCUCUGGUCUGUAACUGACGCUGAGGCUCGAAAGCGUGGGGAGCAAACAGG
RNAcentral lists this ribosomal RNA (429 nucleotides) under Gemmatimonadota bacterium. RNAcentral's name for it is "Gemmatimonadetes bacterium partial 16S ribosomal RNA". It matches the Rfam family "Bacterial small subunit ribosomal RNA", at positions 355 to 776 of the family's 1533-position model. Lineage: Bacteria; Pseudomonadati; Gemmatimonadota. The record is from RNAcentral.